GUUAAUCCAAACAAUUGAAAUUGGUGGGAGAGGAUGGUGUGAAAAGGGACUCCAGGUUUAGCAGGAUCAUCCCAUGGAAGUGACGAGGUUUAGGAAGAUUGUUCUGAGACUACUGACUUACUCAGCUAAAAUGUGAAGCAUGAAACAUUAAAGACAACAGCACUUUCUGAAAAAAGGAGAUUGUGGAAGGGUGGCAAGUUUUUCUAGGAAGACAUUGCCUACCAGCUUGAAACAUGUAAAUUGCUGGAAUUUGCAUCAAAAUAUGACAGCUCUUCUCUGAUGAAGGGUGUGUUGACAGGUCUGUCAGCUGUCUCAAGCCGAUAUCCAUGGUGGGAUACACCCCCUUCCCUGGGAAGUGGCACCCUGCUUUGAGACACCAGUUCCACAGUCAUUGAGAGGAGCUGUACACAUAAGUUCAAAGCUGUAAGUCAACUGCAUCAACAAGCCAACUGUGUGAGGCAGGUGAUUAUAAAUUAUUGAGAUUUGGCUGCACUCUCUGAUUUUCAAUUAGCUUCAAGGGCAUGCAGAAGAAAGCAAAAGUGUGACAGAAUUUGUUGGUUGUUUUAGAAAUAUUAAUACGAUGCAAACCUGGAAUAUUUCCAUGGAAUUAAACACAUCACAGCACAUCCUCUUUUGAUGUGCUUGGGCAGUGAUGUCUCUGAUGACAGAAAAAUCCCCGAACUCUCUAAGUGACAAAGUGUAUUGCACAAGCCCCUUUUGGUAAUUGCACCUGCUAGCUGAAACACAUAGAGUCCGUAG
RNAcentral lists this long non-coding RNA (759 nucleotides) under Parus major (Great Tit). RNAcentral's name for it is "lncRNA (ENSPMJG00000012564.1)". The record is from RNAcentral. Lineage: Eukaryota; Metazoa; Chordata; Aves; Passeriformes; Paridae.